Molecule: ribosomal RNA, 405 nt
Filed under: uncultured soil bacterium
Lineage: Bacteria
Description: bacterial SSU rRNA
Rfam family: Bacterial small subunit ribosomal RNA
Source: RNAcentral
GCGCCCCGCAAGGGGAGCGGCAGACGGGAGAGUAACACGUGGGAACGUACCUUUUGGUUCGGAACAACCCAGGGAAACUUGGGCUAAUACCGGAUAAGUCCGCAAGGAGAAAGAUUUAUCGCCAAAAGAUCGGCCCGCGUCUGAUUAGCUAGUUGGUGAGGUAAUGGCUCACCAAGGCGACGAUCAGUAGCUGGUCUGAGAGGAUGAUCAGCCUCACUGGGACUGAGACACGGCCCAGACUCCUACGGGAGGCAGCAGUGGGGAAUAUUGGACAAUGGGCGCAAGCCUGAUCCAGCCAUGCCGCGUGGGUGAUGAAGGCCCUAGGGUUGUAAAGCCCUUUCGGCGGGGAAGAUAAUGACGGUACCCGCAGAAGAAGCCCCGGCUAACUUCGUGCCAGCAGCCGCG